RNAcentral lists this unclassified non-coding RNA (247 nucleotides) under uncultured Phoma. RNAcentral describes it as "sequence contains ITS2". Lineage: Eukaryota; Fungi; Ascomycota. The record is from RNAcentral.
AACGCACAUUGCGCCCCUUGGUAUUCCAUGGGGCAUGCCUGUUCGAGCGUCAUUUGUACCCUCAAGCUCUGCUUGGUGUUGGGUGUUUGUCCCGCUCUUCGCGUGGACUCGCCUUAAAACAAUUGGCAGCCGGCAUAUUGGCCUGGAGCGCAGCACAUUUUGCGCCUCUUGUCAUGAUUGUUGGCAUCCAUCAAGACUAUUUUUAACUCUUGACCUCGGAUCAGGUAGGGAUACCCGCUGAACUUAA